Bombyx mori (domestic silkworm) is the source of this 650-nucleotide long non-coding RNA. RefSeq lists it as uncharacterized. The record is from RefSeq and is a predicted model, not a curated record. Lineage: Eukaryota; Metazoa; Arthropoda; Insecta; Lepidoptera; Bombycidae. The transcript has 2 exons.
GAAAAUAAUUAAGUUUUGUAAUAUGAUCUAAAAAAUUCAAGGACUUACAGAGUAUAUCAAUUUUUGAGUAUAUCAAUCAUGUUAAGCUCACGUUAUUAAAACACCACAAAAUCGUCACUUUAAGAUGUAAAUAAUCUUGCAACGCUCAUCAGUAAAAUUAAAACGCGCCCGUUAACUGUCGAUCGAACUGGAAACAAUGGCCGGUCUAAAUUCCAAUCAAGGCGUAGCAUUGUAAAUCUUUGUUAACUCGAUGCAGAUGUAUCGUAGCUGCCAGCCGGAACUAAAGGUUGCAAGCAGAAUUAUCUGGAUACUCGGAUAAAUUUAAAAUUGGACAUUUAAAAACAUGAUUACACUUUCUUUUGGCUGGGUACGGAGGAGACGAAGCUCUGUGGUAUGAAUAGAGAUGGGUAGACGAGCUCACGGCCACCUAGUGUUCAGAGUGCAUGGACAUCAACAUUUUACAGCACAACGACGGCCCGGCCCUUCAAACUGAAAGCAAUUACCUACUGCAGAAAUAGGCAAGGUGGUGGUACCUACUCGUGCGAGCUCAAAAAGCGCCCUACCGCCAGUAAAACCUCAUUAAAUGCAUUUUGAUUAACUGAUUAACUUAAUAAUGUUUAACUUUAACUAAAUGUGUUUAGAGAUCGAAA